UUCCUGGUUUGUCUGAACCACGCCCGUGAGCACCGAGCAGGAUGAGGGGCUGGAAGGACAGCUCAGUGGUUAGCGCCAGCUCCGCUUCCUGAAUGUAUGGCCCGGUGUCCAUGUGACCCCACGUUCCAGUGACUCAGUGAGGGCGACGCUGACGUUGUCUUCUCUUCCCCGCUGCGACUGAGCGACAACAUCAGGUUUUGCUUUUCCAUGAGGACGAGAAUUCUCCCCUAUAGGUCGCACUUUGACGGCUAUACUUACCCAUAUAGGACAGUGGAGCCGGACCCCAGCUCACAGCACAUAUGGAAAUUAGCUACCAACGAGCCCGGGGCGUAAACAUGCAAGACGAGGGCGCAAACGCUUGGGAGAAGAGUGGGUCCUUGUGAUGUUGGCGAAUCAGAAUGCAAUGCACCGGAAAUGGGUGAAGAAAUUAGAAAAUUAAUUUUUAAUUUAAAA
This 453-nucleotide long non-coding RNA is filed under the name Rattus norvegicus (Norway rat). RNAcentral describes it as "long non-coding RNA NONRATT013198". The record is from RNAcentral. Lineage: Eukaryota; Metazoa; Chordata; Mammalia; Rodentia; Muridae.